GGGCCGUUCUGCUAAUGGCAAGCUCCGCGGUUAGUCACCUGCGGGAAUGCGGGUUCGAGUCCCGCACGGUCCA
Molecule: transfer RNA, 73 nt
Filed under: Patescibacteria group bacterium
Lineage: Bacteria
Description: tRNA-Thr
Rfam family: tRNA
About the family: Transfer RNA (tRNA) molecules are approximately 80 nucleotides in length. Their secondary structure includes four short double-helical elements and three loops (D, anti-codon, and T loops). Further hydrogen bonds mediate the characteristic L-shaped molecular structure. tRNAs have two regions of fundamental functional importance: the anti-codon, which is responsible for specific mRNA codon recognition, and the 3' end, to which the tRNAs corresponding amino acid is attached (by aminoacyl-tRNA synthetases). tRNAs cope with the degeneracy of the genetic code in two manners: having more than one tRNA (with a specific anti-codon) for a particular amino acid; and 'wobble' base-pairing, i.e. permitting non-standard base-pairing at the 3rd anti-codon position.
Source: RNAcentral